Molecule: ribosomal RNA, 801 nt
Filed under: uncultured Glomus
Lineage: Eukaryota; Fungi; Glomeromycota; Glomeromycetes; Glomerales; Glomeraceae
Description: SSU rRNA
Rfam family: Eukaryotic small subunit ribosomal RNA
Source: RNAcentral
UAUCAACUUUCGAUGGUAGGAUAGAGGCCUACCAUGGUGGUAACGGGUAACGGGGUGUUAGGGCACGACACCGGAGAGGGAGCCUGAGAAACGGCUACCACAUCCAAGGAUGGCAGCAGGCGCGCAAAUUACCCAAUCCCGACACGGGGAGGUAGUGACAAUAAAUAACAAUACGGGGUUCUUUCGGAUUUCGUAAUUGGAAUGAGUACAAUUUAAAUCUCUUAACGAGGAACAAUUGGAGGGCAAGUCUGGUGCCAGCAGCCGCGGUAAUUCCAGCUCCAAUAGCGUAUAUUAAAGUUGUUGCAGUUAAAAAGCUCGUAGUUGAAUUUCGGGGUUAGUAGGUUGGUCAUGCCACUGGUAUGUACUGAUCUUACUGAUUCCUCCUUCCUGAUGAACCGUAAUGCCAUUAAUUUGGUGUUGCGGGGAGACUGGACUGUUACUUUGAAAAAAUUAGAGUGUUUAAAGCAGGCUAACGCUUGAAUACAUUAGCAUGGAAUAAUGAAAUAGGACGUUCGAUCCUAUUUUGUUGGUUUCUAGGAUUGACGUAAUGAUUAAUAGGGAUAGUUGGGGGCAUUAGUAUUCAAUUGUCAGAGGUGAAAUUCUUGGAUUUAUUGAAGACUAACUACUGCGAAAGCAUUUGCCAAGGAUGUUUUCAUUAAUCAAGAACGAAAGUUAGGGGAUCGAAGACGAUCAGAUACCGUCGUAGUCUUAACCAUAAACUAUGCCGACUAGGGAUCGGAUGAUGUUAAUUUUUUAAUGACUCAUUCGGCGCCUUACGGGAAACCAAAGUGUUUGGGUUCA